This is an RNA transcript of Harmonia axyridis, 5625 nucleotides long. It is a transcript of the gene named THO complex subunit 2, with no coding region annotated. The record is from RefSeq and is a predicted model, not a curated record. The transcript has 18 exons. Lineage: Eukaryota; Metazoa; Arthropoda; Insecta; Coleoptera; Coccinellidae.
UACAAAUAUUUCUGUGACAAUUCGCAUUGUAAGUAAUAUAAUAUAAGUAUAGUACUAUAAACAGUAAUAAAAUUGAUUUAAGAAAAUAUUACUGGAAUUAAAAUAAAUUAUACGCAUAAAGAGGACAUAGAAAACUAGGCAUUCUCUCUACGAAGUUUUCUCUGUGAUCGUUAUUAAAAGUGUCUUCUGUCAUUUUGUGAUGUAUGAUGUAUAUGUCGUUCAUUCAAACAUGGAUUGUUUAAAUGAGGAAAUUUGGAAAAAUUGGGAAAAAGUUGGCAAAAACGAAUUUACGAAGCUUUGUGUGCAAUUAGUUAAGGAUGACACACGUAGUCCCCUAUUUGAUAAAAAUGAGAAGUUGACUGAAAUCACAACACUGUUGAAUAUUUUAGUUGAAAAAGGUCUUCAAGGAGUUAUCAAGAAAGAGUCUGUUGUUGGUGUGUUGCAAGAAUUAGUGAUCCUCCAUAACGAUAUUCCUUCACUAAUACUAGAUGUUUUAAACAUAGCUGAUGCAUCAUCAGCUCAAGUUGAUAAUUCAUCAGAGGAAUCAAAAGAAAGAAAUAUAUUUUGUUAUAUUAUCAAAGAAUGUGAGAAGUUCAUUUCAGAUAAGUUAUUGAAAGAAAGAUUAGAAAUUGAUACCCUGCAAGAAGUUGGUAUCUUAAAAAAUAGAGCAUUUUACUCAAAAUUUAUCAAAGUUAAAACAAAGUUAUACUACAAACAAAAAAAAUUCAAUCUCUUUCGUGAGGAAUGUGAGGGUUUUUCAAAGCUCAUUACAGAGUUGAAUCAGGAAUUUGGCGAAAGUACAAACAAUGAAAGAAUUUUAGGAAUAGUUCAAUCGCUCAUUGGUUGCUUCAAUUUGGAUCCUAACAGGGUAUUAGAUAUUUUGUUAGAAAGCUUUGAGAACAAACCAAAUGAUGCGAACUUAUUUAUUCCUCUUAUCAAAUCUUAUAUGAAUGACCCGAAAAUCAUUAGCGAAGUUUUGGGCUCUAAAUAUAGCUUUCUGAGGAGUAGUGAGAAUGGCGCUCCAAAAUCUCUUCAUGUUCUCACAGCUCAAUUAUUGCAGAACUCUAUCAUAUCUCUGGAAGACAUAUACCCCUGGUUAACUCCAGAUGAUAAAAUUAUGCAAAAAGAGUGUGAAAAGAAUAUGAAGGAAGCCAAAGAAUAUUUCAGAAAGUUACAAGUAAUAUCAGUUAAUAAGACUGAAAAAGAAGAAACUCCAGAAGAACCGGAAAACCCCAUUGAAAAGUAUAAAUCAAACCAGAAGCUGGGUUUAUGUGAAGCGUUACUUUUGAUAGCAGAUUGGGAUAAUGCAAAAACAUUGAUCGAUCAUUUGCCAGAACAUUACGCUGUUAGUUUUGAACCAAUCGCGUUGGCAUUAUGUAACUUACUACAUUAUGUGAUCGAACCAGUUUAUAGAGAAAACUUCAGAAUAAGUCCCAAAUUCAAAGGAAAACCGAUUCCUCCGCAUAAAAAUCCUAAAGCCCCAAAGGCGGCCCAUACUUUUGAAGAUUUACGUCAAAACGCAUUUCCGAUGCUAAUGACCUUAGCACCUUCGUUACAGCACGAUACCGUUCUUAUGUGCAAAGUGAUCAGAUUGGCCAAGGCGAUACUGAGUUCUUACGGCGUAGAAAAUGCCAAAAGCGAAGUUACAGAGGAUAAAAUGCUCUAUUAUGACAUUUUAAGCUUACUCGAUAUAACCAUUUUACCUUCAUUAUCCUAUUUAGACUGCAAUUGUUGCAUUGCCGAAGAGAUAUGGACUUUAUUGAGGCUCUAUCCUUAUCAAAUACGAUAUUGUUUGUAUAACAGAUGGAAAAACGACACCUACAUGAUUUAUCCCGAUCUGCUCAAGAAAAGAGGGGAUUCCGAAAAGCAAAUUAAAAACAUCAUGAAACGUGUAAGCAAGGAAAAUGUAAAGCCAGUUGGAAGAUCAAUAGGAAAACUGACACAUUGCUCACCUGGUUUUUUAUUUGACUAUGUGCUCUUACAAAUUCAAGUAUACAAUAAUCUCAUACAUCCGGUGGUUGAUUCUCUGAAAUAUUUGACCAGUUUAUCGUACGACGUUUUGGGAUAUUGUUUGAUUGAAUGUUUGGCAAACGCUGAUAAGAAGAGGGUAAAACACGAUAGCACGUCCAUUUCGACUUGGCUUCAAAGUUUGUCCUGUUUCUGUGGCGCUAUUUACAAAAAGUACAAUAUUGAAUUGUCGGGGUUGUUGCAGUAUGUGGCCAACCAACUUAAAGCUCAAAAAAGUUUAGAUUUACUUAUCCUAAAAGAAGUUGUUCAAAAGAUGGCUGGUAUCGAGUCGGCAGAAGAUCUUACUAUCGAACAAUUGAGUGCUAUGGCAGGUGGGGAAUUAUUGAGAGCUGAGGCUGGUUAUUUCGGUCAAGUUAGAAACACAAAAAAAUCCUCUCUGCGGCUUAAGGAAGCCAUGGCAGAUCAAAAUUUGGCGGUUUCCUUGUGUCUACUGAUGGCCCAACAGAAGUAUUGUGUUGUUUAUAAAGAGACCCAGCAAAGCCACUUGAAAUUAGUCGGGAAGCUUUCUGAUCAGUGUCAGGAUACGCUGGUACAGUUCGGAAACUUCCUAGGUUCUACGAUGUCUGUCGAUGAAUACGUUAAUAAAUUACCCAGUAUUCAAAGUAUGCUGUUGAAUUAUCAUAUCCCCAACGAAGUUGCCUUUUUUCUAGCCAGACCAAUGUUCAAUCAUGAAAUCAAUAUAAAAUAUGACCAACUUAGAAAAGCAGACGCAAAUUAUAAAAAACUUUCCACGAGUGUAAAGCAUCAGAAAUAUUUCGAAGCUGUAAACGAGGUUAUGCAACCAGUUCACAAGUCUUUGACGCCACUCCAUCCUCCCAAAAUAUGGGAAGACAUUUCCACGCAAUUCUUAGCUACUUUCUGGUCCUUAACGAUGUACGAUUUGUGCAUUCCCGAAGACACAUACUUGGAAGCAGUGAAUAAGCUGAAACAACAGAGUAUCUCGAUUCUGGAUUCGGGCAGCAAUAAAGGCAAAAAAGAACAAGAAAGGCACGCAACCCUAAUAGAAAAACUUCAAGAUGAGAAGAAGAAACAAUCGGAACAUGUAGAUAAGGUUAUGUACAGAUUGAAGCAGGAAAAAGAUCAUUGGUUUGUGUCCAAAACCGCUAAAACUGCUAAGAACGAAACUAUCACCAGAUUUCUACAGCUGUGUCUGUUUCCAAGAUGUACAUUCACCGCUAUCGAUGCACUCUAUUGUGCUAAAUUUGUUCACGUCAUUCAUAUGCUGAAAACUCCGAAUUUUUCUACUCUCCUCUGUUAUGACCGCCUUUUCUGUGAUAUAACCUACUCUGUUACCUCAUGCACUGAAAAUGAAGCAAUGCGAUAUGGUAGAUUCUUAUAUGCUAUGUUAGAAACUGUUAUGCGUUGGCACAAGUCUAAAGAUGUAUUCGAGAAAGAAUGUGCCAACUAUCCCGGUUUCGUAACAAAAUUCCGAGUCAGCAACCAACAUGCGGACAAUAUGGAUAAUGUUGGUUAUGAAAACUACAGACAUGUUUGCCACAAAUGGCAUUAUAAACUUGCAAAGGCGAUGGUUACUUGCCUAGAAUCCAAGGAUUAUAUACAGAUAAGGAAUGCUCUGAUCAUUUUGAUUAAAAUCAUUAAUUACUUCCCAGUACUGAUCAAGUUAAGUCAAUUUGUCGAGAAAAGAAUCGAGAAAGUUAGGGACGAAGAGAAAAAUAAUAGACAAGAUCUCUUCACAUUAUCCAGUAGUUAUUUGGCGCUACUGAAACAAAGAAUUGCUAGUGGUAAUAUGGUCAAAGAAGGAGAUUUUCAUAUCAUCAUUGAAAAGGUCUCAAAGGUGCAGCACGAACAAAAGACAUCAAAUUCCAGUACAAAACAUAAUGGAGAAACUAAAGAUGACAAGGAAAAAAGAUCUAGUAAACAGUCAGAUGAAGUUAAAACUGUUACGAAAACAGAGAAUUCAGAACAAAAUGGUUCAAAGGAUAAAGCAGAUAAAAUUUAUAAGGAAGAAAUAAGAGAGAAACACCGCAAGGAAGACAAACAAAGAGACGAUGCCGAAAAAGAAAGAGAGAGAGAAAAAAGAAGAGAAAGGAAAGAGGAGAAACUUCUUAAGCAAGACGAUUGGCAAUAUAAAGAGGAAAGAGAUAGAUAUCAAGAUGGAGGUCUCAAAGAUGAAGCAAGAUAUUCUAAUGAAAGAUCAGUAGAACGUUAUUACGAUGACAGAGGAACACCCCAUUAUUAUAGAGAUGUGAGGGAUGACCGAGAUUUGGCUAUUGGAAAUAACGGAUCAGCAAAUAUGGGACGACAUUCACAAGAUACUGAUCCUGACAGAGAAGCUAAAAGGAGAAAAUUGGAUGGAUCUUCCAAGGUUAGUAUCGAGGUCACUUAGCAUCGGUGCAGAUUUCAGGGACUCAUCCGAACAUGGGGUUAUCUCCAGUGAUGUUAAUCCUCUGGAAGGUUGGGCUGUGUUUUGUUAUCGAAUCAGUGUUUUAAUUUAAAAAAAAAAAGGUGUGGACAAUUCAAGAGAAGAACUAUUUUUAAUUUACAAAUGGAGGCGGUGUUUUUGUAGUCGUUAUGGAGCUUUGUUGUUGCAAGACUAGAAUUCUUGUCGCUAUGAUUUUAAGAAGUGGCUGAAUUUGAAAUUUUUUCCUGAUGAACAUUGAAGUUCAGCAAUUAUAUUGAAUACUAAAGAUAUUCAGAAAAGUGCCGAUGAUGAAAUCAAUCAUGAGAUGGAGUCCUAGAAGUUUUUGUGCCUUUCUAAAUAAGGUUUUUAAAUAUGGCUAUGGAGUUUUGGAAAACCAAGACGAGAACUUAAUCAGGCUUAUGUCCGUAUAUAUCUAAGCUUCAAACAAAUUUUCUAACCACCAGAAGGUUUACUUCACUGAAUAGAUCAGAGGAUCAAAAUGAAGAUGACGUAUUUUUGUAAUUUGACUUCACUUUCAACCGUUUUACAAGCAUUCGUUUGUUGUUCAUCUGGAGGAUGAGGCGCUAACAGAAAUAUUGCUUGAGAAAAUUGAUUUCACUUUGUAAAGAUGCACCAGAAAUUGACAGUGACUUAUCCAUGAUUAUAGAAACUUUUGGUCCAAACUAGUAACGUCUAAACUUAUAAUAAGGAGAUAAAUUAUCCAGCGAUCUUGUAAAUAAGAAGUCAUUCCGUAGAAUGUAAAGUGAACGAUGAGAUUCCUUGAAAAAUAUGGAAAUAAAUAUACCAAUUUCAUCGAGGCCGUAAUCAGCAGCAGAACCUAAGAAAUCUGUCGGGAAGCAGUGACCAGAACGGGGAGAAUCAUUCAUAUUCGCAUCCGAUAUCGAUUCCUAGAUUCUUCAGAGAUCGUCUCGUCAGUCUCGUGCCUUACUUCGUUAGCAGUUUUUAUCUGUUCUAAAAACUUUUGUGUGGACCUCCAAAGUGUAUCUUAGCCCAAUCUUCCAUUGUGAAUUUUAAUUCUGCCAACCGGUUUCAAGAGCGGCAGCAGAUUGAAGUAGAGGCUGCCGCAAUCUUCAAGCCACGCCCUUCAGGAUCUAAUGUCAAACUACCCAUUGUGUGUCUACAGAGCUCAAAGCAUGAAGAACGAUCCAAAGUCCAACAUCCACAAUUCGAUUAUGUAGGAGAAAAGGUUGAGAAGAAAGAGAGAACGGUAAAAA